This is a long non-coding RNA of Salvelinus fontinalis (brook trout), 4349 nucleotides long. RefSeq lists it as uncharacterized. The record is from RefSeq and is a predicted model, not a curated record. The transcript has 2 exons. NCBI's taxonomy places the organism in Eukaryota, Metazoa, Chordata, Actinopteri, Salmoniformes, Salmonidae.
GUCAACAAAAUAUUUUCGAAAUGGAACCAACUCGUUUGAAAUCAAAACGAUACGCUAAGAAAGAACUAGGUGUCUGCUUUUCGUUAGUUGUCUACCUACUUUCGUCCUUGUCUCGAAGACUAACAAUGUUGUUUGGUAGUAGUUCGCUGCGGUUUUCUCCCCUCCAGCCUCUAUCAGCUGAUGCCAAUGAUGUGUACAGUAUGAAGCGUUACAUAUGAGACGUUGGUAUAUGAGGCGUUAUACGUGUCUAUACCUCGAUUGUAAAAUGUAAUAUUCAACUAAUAACUGGUAUUUUUUUGUAUUUUAUUAGGAUCCCCAUUAGCUGUAGCAAAAGCAUCAGCUACUCUUCCUGUGGUCCACACAAAACAUGAAACAUUACAUAAUACAGAACAUUAAUAGACAAGGACAGAACUGCAUACAUAUUUUAUAAAGGCACACGUAGCCUACAUAUCAAUACAUACAGAAACUAUCUAGGUCAAAUAGGAGAGAGGCGUUGUGCCGAGAGGUGUUGCUUUAUCUGUUGUUUAAACCAGGUUUGCUGUUUAUUUGAGCAAUAUGAGAUGGAAUGGAGUUCCAUGCAAUAAUGGCUCUAUAUAAUACUGUACGCUUUCUUGCAAUUAUUCUGGAUUUGGGGACUGUGAAAAGACCCCUGGUAGCAUGACUGGUGGGGUAAGUGUGUGUGUCAGACCUGUGUGUAAGUUGACUAUGCAAACAAUUUGAGAUUUUCAACACAUUGUUUCUUAUAAAAAAUAAGAAGUGAUGCAGUCAGUCUCUCCUCAACUCUUAGCCAAGAGAGACUGGCAUGCAUAGUAUUUACAGUUGAAGUCGGAAGUUUACAUACACUUAGGUUGGAGUCAUUAAAACUCAUUUUUCAACCACUCCACAAUUUCUUGUUAACAAACCAUAGUUUUGGCGGUUAGGACGUCUAACUUUGUGCAUGACACAAGUCAUUUUUCCAACAAUUGUUUACAGACAGAUUAUUUCACUUAUAAUUCACUGUAUCACAAUUCCAGUGGGUCAGAAGUUGACUGUGCCUUUAAACAGCUCGGAAAAUUCCAGAAAAUGAUGUCAUGGCUUUAGAAGCUUCUGAUAGGCUAUUUGACAUCAUUUGAGUCAAUUGGAGGUGUCCUUGUGGAUGUAUUUCAAGGCCUACCUUCAAUCUCAGUGCCUCUUUGCUUGACAUCAUGGGAAAAUCAAAAGAAAUCAGCCAAGACGUCAUACAAAAAUUGUAGACAUCCACAAGUCUGGUUCAUCCUUGGGAGCAAUUUCCAAACGCCUGAUGGUACCACGUUCAUCUGUACAAACAAUAGUAAGUAUAAACACCAUGGGACCACGCAGCCGUCAUACCGCUCAGGAAGGAGACGCGCUUAGUCUCCUAGAGAUGAACGUACUUUGGUGUGAAAAGUGCAAAUCAAUCCCAGAACAAGAGCAAAGGACCGUGUGAAUAUGCUGGAGAAAACUGGUACAAAAAUAUCUAUAUCCACAGUAAAAUGAGUCAUAUAUCGACAUAACCUGAAAGGCCGCUCAGCAAGGAAGAAGCCGCUGCUCCAAAACCGCCAUAAAAAAGCCAGACUACGGUUUUCAACUCCACAUGCGGACAAAGUUUGUACUUUUUGGAGAAGUGUCCUCUGGUCUGAUGAAACAAAAAUAGAACUGUUUGGCCAUAAUGACCAACGUUAUGUUUGGAGGAAAAAGAGAGUCGCUUGCAAGCCGAAUAACACCAUCCCAACCGUGAAGCACGGGGGUGGCAGCAUCAUGUUGUGGGGGUGCUUUGCUGCAGGAGGGACUGGUGUACAUCACAAAAUAGAUGGCAUCAUGAGGGAGGAAAAUUAUGUGGAUGUAUUGAAGCAAAAUCUCAAGACAUCAGUCAGGAAGUUAAAGCUUGGUCGCAAAUGGGUCUUCCAAAUGGACAAUGACACCAAGCAUAGCAAAGUUGUUGCAAAGUUGUAGCAAAAUGGCUUAAUAAGGACAACACAGUCAAGGUAUUGGAGUGGCCAUCACAAAGCCCUGACCUCAAACCUAUAGAAAUUUGUGGGCAGAACUGAAAAAGCGUGUGUGUGAGCAAAGAGGCCUACAAACCUGACUUAGUUACACCAGCUCUGUCAGGAGGAAUGGGCCAAAAUUCACCCAACUUAUUGUGGGAAGCUUGUGGAAGGCUACCCAAAACGUUUGACCCAAGUUAAACAACUUAAAGGCAAUGCUACCAAAUAAUAAUUGAGUGUAUGUAAACUUCGGACCCACUGGGAACGUGAUGAAAGAAAUAAAAGCUGAAAUAAAUCGUUCUCUCUACUAUUAUUCUGACAUUUCACAUUCUUAAAAUAAAGUGGUGAUCCUAACUGACCUAAGACAGGGACUUUUUACUCAGAAUAAAUGUCAGGAAUUGUGAAAAACUGAGUUUAAAUGUAUUUGGCUAAGGUGUAUGUAAACUUCCGCCCUCUGACUACAAUGAAGAGCAAGACGUGUCGCUCUGUUCUGUGCCAGCUGCAGCUUAACUAGGUCUUUCCUUGCAGCUCUCAACCACACGGCUGGACAAUAAUCAAGAUAAGACAAGAAUAGUGUGGUGUCAAAAAAGCAGACCUCUCCCAAAUCUUUACAACCAUUGAACCUAUAUGUUUUGACCAUGACAGUUUACAAUCUAAGGUAACACCAAGUAAUUUAGUUGCCUCAACUUGUUCAACAGCCACCCCAGUCAUUACCAGAUUCAGCAGAGGUCUAGAAUGUCGUAAUAGAGUAAUUAUUGGAAGACACUACAACUCCUCAUAACAGACAUGUGUAACACCUCAAAUAUAACGCCUCAUACUACAUUCGGUUACAUUCUACUAUUGUUUACAUAUUGUGUUCAAUGGGCCAAGAGAAUGAAAAUCCAAGCGACAGAACCUAGCAACACUUUCCUGUGGAUAUCUCCAACUCUUACCGCCAAAAAGGACCAGCAGCAUGUAGAACUGGUAAAAUGGUUUCACUACAACAGGUGAUGAUACCAGGCAAGUAAUACGCCAGUCAUCUGACGAUUUCACUGUCAAUAGUUUCACUUUUCUUCUGACCAACACAUUCCUUGCCUUUCCCACCUUCCCCGUUCUCCCCCAGUGGACAGUGUGUGACUUGAGUUUAUUCAGUCGUCUGUAGUGGAUCGUGGACUUGUGCAACCUGUGGUUAUACUGGACCUCGCUCAGGUAUGCUAACACCCUCCCCAUUCUCUGGUGAUUCACCUGGUAUUGUCACAAUUGUAUUCAGUUCUAGUCAAGUUUAUUCCAUUUUAACCUAUUACCCAGGUUGUUUGUUCUUGGGAAAAACCUACUUGAAUGACUAAACUGGGCAGAAAUGACAAAAGGUGUCAACAUUAGCCUGCUAAUAAUCACUGAAACAAAAAGUAGACAGUCAGGGACCAUCAGCAUUUCCAAACAUGAUGGAAAGAGGAGUAUUUGUGGGGCUAUUUGACAGCAGAAUGAAUGCCAAUCUUAGACUUGGAGAGCAUCAGAAGUUCCAAAAAUGAUGGAUAAUGGAAUUUCCCCCUUCAAAUUGUCCUUGCACAAUGUGGCAGUGUUGUUCUCCGGACCACAGCGAAGACUAGUUAUUUUCAACAUGUAUUUAAUUGGCACAGUUUACACAAUACAAAUAAUUCAGUGCUCCGAAACGCAAGCAUAUACCAAAUGGAACACAAACAGAAAAAAAGUGCGAAACACACCAUUUGGCAGACUUUACAAAACAAAAACAAUAAAACAAAGUCUUAGCAAAGCGAGAGAGAAGAAGUAACGGUAGGUCCUUUUAAUCGUUAAAACCUUAAAAAUAGACUGUUUAUUUCCUUUUUUUGUCUUAGUUGAAUCAAUAUUUAUUUAUAUAUUUAUAUAUAUAUUCUCUCUAAAUUCCAACAAGCCAUUUCUUCUGUACAGGUGCGCUGGGGCCAGGCUGAAGGACUAGGAUGAUCUGAAUCCAGCAUUAGCAGGAGAGGAGAUAAGCAGAUUCCCCUCUAUACUGGCUCGCUUCUGAGUGGGUCAGCGCACUACAGAUAUGCACCUUCUGAUGGUCUGCAUGGGAAACCAGUUUUGUCUUUUCACUUCUCACAAACAAAACAACUGCCAAAUCAAUAUCUACAAUAAUCAAAAUAAGAGAUGGACGGAUGGGAAUAGCAAAAGGAGACUUUGACCUGACCUGAGUCUCGGGCCAAAGAACUUCUAGAUUUGCGCCGCUUUUAUAUUAUGACAAGUAACUGGGACUCCAAAUGAUGAUUGGAUCACUGUUCGUGUGUUGUUCUACUGAUAAUAUACAUGGUUUGCAUUGAUACAAUUUCAGUUGCUGCUCUUUGAAAUGUUGCUUGAGUAGUAAUAUUGUAAUAAAAAAAAAGUUUCAAGACA